RNAcentral lists this ribosomal RNA (498 nucleotides) under uncultured bacterium. RNAcentral's name for it is "partial 16S ribosomal RNA". It matches the Rfam family "Bacterial small subunit ribosomal RNA", at positions 30 to 523 of the family's 1533-position model. The record is from RNAcentral.
ACUGAACGCUGGCGGCAUGCCUUACACAUGCAAGUCGAACGGUAACAGGUCUUCGGAUGCUGACGAGUGGCGAACGGGUGAGUAAUACAUCGGAACGUGCCCGAUCGUGGGGGAUAACGAAGCGAAAGCUUUGCUAAUACCGCAUAAGAUCUACGGAUGAAAGCAGGGGACCGCAAGGCCUUGCGCGAACGGAGCGGCCGAUGGCAGAUUAGGUAGUUGGUGGGAUAAAAGCUUACCAAGCCGACGAUCUGUAGCUGGUCUGAGAGGACGACCAGCCACACUGGGACUGAGACACGGCCCAGACUCCUACGGGAGGCAGCAGUGGGGAAUUUUGGACAAUGGGUGAAAGCCUGAUCCAGCCAUGCCGCGUGCAGGAUGAAGGCCUUCGGGUUGUAAACUGCUUUUGUACGGAACGAAAAGACUCUUUCUAAUAAAGAGGGUCCAUGACGGUACCGUAAGAAUAAGCACCGGCUAACUACGUGCCAGCAGCCGCCGUAA